RNAcentral lists this small RNA (1127 nucleotides) under uncultured bacterium. RNAcentral describes it as "bacterial SSU rRNA". The stretch from base 1 to 490 matches the Rfam family "Bacterial small subunit ribosomal RNA", at positions 1045 to 1533 of the family's 1533-position model. The record is from RNAcentral.
AUGGCUGUCGUCAGCUCGUGUCGUGAGAUGUUGGGUUAAGUCCCGCAACGAGCGCAACCCUCACUUUUAGUUGCCAUCAUUAAGUUGGGCACUCUGAAAGAACUGCCAGUGAUAAGCUGGAGGAAGGUGGGGAUGACGUCAAGUCCUCAUGGCCCUUAUGGCCAGGGCUUCACACGUAAUACAAUGGUCGGUACAGAGGGACGCCAACCCGCGAGGGGGAGCUAAUCUCAGAAAGCCGAUCGUAGUCCGGAUUGAAGUCUGCAACUCGACUUCAUGAAGCUGGAGUCGCUAGUAAUCCCAGAUCAGCAUUGCUGGGGUGAAUACGUUCCCGGGCCUUGUACACACCGCCCGUCACACCACGAAAGUUGGCAACACCCGAAGCCAGUGGCCCAACCCCUUGGGGAGGGAGCUGUCGAAGGUGGGGUUAGCGAUUGGGGUGAAGUCGUAACAAGGUAGCCGUACCGGAAGGUGCGGCUGGAUCACCUCCUUUCUAAGGAGUCACCUCCGACCAUAAGUUCAUAAUGAUCUUAUUUGUCAGAUGGAGAUUCUCAGUUGGAGCACUGGUGUGCCAUCGUCAGAUUAAUUAGAGGGUUUGUAGAUACCUCUGUCAUCACUUGUGGUGAUGGUCGGAUACUCGCCAUCUGAUGUCUGGUUGUUGGCUCGUUCUCUGUUCUGCUGCCAAGGAGCGCUGUGCGUUUCUUCGUGGUUCUUUUGAGCCAUGGAGAGAUGCGUACUCCUUCGGGCGUUAUGCCUAUUUUUGAGCCCUUUGGGCCUUGAAAAUGUGGACUGCACCUUGAGAACUGCAUAGCGAUGCACGAGCAUCUAAAUGCCUGCCAACGACAUUACGUUGUCGGUAGGCGAAAUGCCUGUCAGUGACUUAUGUCGUUGAUGGGCGAGCGGUCACUCAAUGUCGACGUUUCUCUGUAUCUCUUGCCGAGUCGAGAGAAGCGUAGUGUGAUCGUGUUAAUUUGUUUUUUCGAAUCUGAAUAUUGAAUACCCAAGCUACUAAGAGCCAAUGGUGAAUGCCUUGGCGCCGAACACCGAUGAAGGACGUGACUGGCUGCGAAAAGCCACGGGGAGCCGCCUAGUAGGCUUUGAUCCGUGGAUGUCCGAAUGGGGAAACCCGG